GGAUAAGGGUGUGCUAGGAACCGGGGUAAUACGGUGGUCAGUAGCGGUGUGCGGAAUGAUUGUGAGUUAAGAGGGUGUAGGAGGGGUUGAAAGGCAGGUGUGGAAGCGCCGGGUUCAAACCGGGAAGUGUACUUGAAACUGAAAAGCGUGAGUACGGGAGAGGUGAGUAGAAUGCCUGGCGUAGUGGUGAAAUACGUAGAUAUCAGGAGGAAUACCGGUGGCGAAGGCGGCUCACUGGCCCAGUACUGACUCGUAGACGCGAAAGCAUGGGGACCAAACAGGAUUAGAUACCUUGUAGUC
This 300-nucleotide ribosomal RNA is filed under the name uncultured Halovivax sp. RNAcentral describes it as "bacterial SSU rRNA". It matches the Rfam family "Bacterial small subunit ribosomal RNA", at positions 495 to 795 of the family's 1533-position model. Lineage: Archaea; Methanobacteriati; Methanobacteriota; Halobacteria; Halobacteriales; Natrialbaceae. The record is from RNAcentral.